Long non-coding RNA from Sapajus apella (tufted capuchin), 1974 nucleotides. RefSeq lists it as uncharacterized. The record is from RefSeq and is a predicted model, not a curated record. Lineage: Eukaryota; Metazoa; Chordata; Mammalia; Primates; Cebidae. The transcript has 5 exons.
GUGCUGGGAUUACAGGCAUAAACCACCAUGCCUGGCCAAGGAAUGCUAUUUCUUUUCCAGGCUCUCAUUUCAUAUCUCCAAAUGGGAAAAAAAAAACCAUGUUGUUUACCUCUCUAAGCCUGUGUAGACAGAUACUUUUCUUAACCAACCUCUCUAAACAAAGAAUUGCAAUGCCUCCUCCAGGUGUAUAUUUAGAAACGUUUCCAUGGUCACUCUUUCCAGUUUGGGCAUCUGUCAUUUGGCUGUUGCAGCAUGCAGGAGAUACCCAAGGAAUGAGUAAUUCUCAAAAAGGUGGCUUUGAAUUUGAGCUUCAUAUAGACUCUUGAACAAAGAACAGUGCAUUUUUAGGGAUGUGACAAGAGGCAAAGGAAAAGGACUUUUUAACUCUCGAUGGGUGGCAAUUUAUAAGAAGGCAAAUGACCAUCAGAUAAAUGCUGGAAUUGGAACUCCAUGAGGGAAGAAUUGUUUCUUAUUCAUUUUUGCACCCAUCUUCAAGCCCAGUGCUUGUAAUGUAUGUGACAUGCACAUUUCAAGGGGCACAUGAGAAAGCCACCUGACUAGGCAGUGUGAUAGGAUUGCUGAUUUCUCCUGAUGGCCAUGCCUACCUUACUCUGGGAUUCUGGGAUUUUACAUUUGCAUGAAACAUCUCUCCUUGUGCUAACUCCUGAUUUGACUUGCAUGACAUCACCGAAGUGUUUCUAGUCAUCUAGAUCUCUUGGAAACUGGGGCCAUGAAUCAUCAAAAGACCUAUUGGAUGCAUUUUGAGGAACUGGGUGCCUGUAUGGCCUGUCCUUGGCAGGGGCUCUGGGCUGGGAUGGAAGUCUCCCAUAUCCAUGUGUCUGGGCAAAAUGCAAAUGGCAGUAACCACAACCAGCUCCUUAUUUCUCACUGAUGCUGCUCACAGACCCAGCAACCUUCACCCUGGAAGUAAUCCAGUGGUUUUGACAUGAACUCUGAGGUGGCACUUGGUUUUUCAAGAAAACUUCUCUGCUGCCAAGCCAAGUCUAUUCCGGAUGCUGGGACCCAUGAAGUGACCACCACCACAUGGAGCAGUUGAGACCCACAGUGAGGAGCAACUCUCCUUCUUACAGGGGUACCCAAACCUCCUUUAUACAACCCAUUUGCUGGGGGCAGCUGAUUCUGUUUCUGGCUACUGAGAUGGGGCAUGUACCCAGGUGGAGCAUAUACCAAUGAUGGACAACCAUUCCCUGAUCAGAGUUAUUGCAUCCAGGGUGGGUAGUGAGCCUGCAGGUCAUGUCUGCUGAGAAAUUUCUGGGAAAGAAGUGUCCUCUGUUUUAGAAAAACUGGGAAACCCGCUUCUUUCUCUAUCCUUAAAUAUGAAUGGAGGCAGAGACCAGGCAGUUGUGAACAGCCAAAAUAGGAUUCCUGGGAUUGAAGAUGACAUUGCCAAGGGCAGACAGAUGUGGAAGUAAACCUGGUCUCUGAUGACACUGUUGAGCAAUUGAACUGAACCAUUCCUGAAACCAACCUUACUUCUAGCAUUCAGUCAUGUGAGCUAUUAAUUCUCUUUUAUCGUUUGAGUUUUUUUUUUUUUUUUUUCUCACUCAGUGGAAACUAUUCAUGGCCACAGUAAGGGAAGAUAAUAUUUCUUUCUCAAAAGCUAACUAGAACUUUGAUAGAGUAUAGUUAUUAUGCUUGGAAAGAACUAAUUAGAUCUCAGUAUUCAAGAGCUAUGUGAUAACUGGUUCAUGUUAUAUUUACAGCUCUAUAUUCAAAUAAAACCCAAAUGUCAGAUGCUUGAAUAUGAAUAUAACAAUAUCAGGACCUGCUGUUACUGCAGCUGAAACUGAAAUAUAGCUCCCUGAGGGAGAAUCAAUAAUUUUCUCUUAAGCCAGACUCAAGAUUCCUAAAUGUACUUCCAAAUAACAAAUAAUAAAUGGCCAAGGAAAAUAUUUUUUAAAUACCUCUACAGAGGAUGAAAAUUAGGGGGAGAAUGCCACUUGUCUGUCAUAA